This 358-nucleotide ribosomal RNA is filed under the name Escherichia coli. RNAcentral's name for it is "partial 23S ribosomal RNA". It matches the Rfam family "Bacterial large subunit ribosomal RNA", at positions 323 to 686 of the family's 2925-position model. Lineage: Bacteria; Pseudomonadati; Pseudomonadota; Gammaproteobacteria; Enterobacterales; Enterobacteriaceae. The record is from RNAcentral.
UGUGUGUUAGUGGAAGCGUCUGGAAAGGCGCGCGAUACAGGGUGACAGCCCCGUACACAAAAAUGCACAUGCUGUGAGCUCGAUGAGUAGGGCGGGACACGUGGUAUCCUGUCUGAAUAUGGGGGGACCAUCCUCCAAGGCUAAAUACUCCUGACUGACCGAUAGUGAACCAGUACCGUGAGGGAAAGGCGAAAAGAACCCCGGCGAGGGGAGUGAAAAAGAACCUGAAACCGUGUACGUACAAGCAGUGGGAGCACGCUUAGGCGUGUGACUGCGUACCUUUUGUAUAAUGGGUCAGCGACUUAUAUUCUGUAGCAAGGUUAACCGAAUAGGGGAGCCGAAGGGAAACCGAGUCUUA